RNAcentral lists this ribosomal RNA (429 nucleotides) under Pseudomonadota bacterium. Its description in RNAcentral is "Proteobacteria bacterium partial 16S ribosomal RNA". It matches the Rfam family "Bacterial small subunit ribosomal RNA", at positions 355 to 776 of the family's 1533-position model. Lineage: Bacteria; Pseudomonadati; Pseudomonadota. The record is from RNAcentral.
UGGGGAAUAUUGGACAAUGGGCGAAAGCCUGAUCCAGCCAUGCCGCGUGUGUGAAGAAGGUCUUCGGAUUGUAAAGCACUUUAAGUUGGGAGGAAGGGCAGUAAGCGAAUACCUUGCUGUUUUGACGUUACCGACAGAAUAAGCACCGGCUAACUCUGUGCCAGCAGCCGCGGUAAUACAGAGGGUGCAAGCGUUAAUCGGAAUUACUGGGCGUAAAGCGCGCGUAGGUGGUUCGUUAAGUUGAAUGUGAAAGCCCCGGGCUCAACCUGGGAACUGCAUCCAAUACUGGCGAGCUAGAGUAGGGCAGAGGGUGGUGGAAUUUCCUGUGUAGCGGUGAAAUGCGUAGAUAUAGGAAGGAACACCAGUGGCGAAGGCGACCACCUGGGCUCAUACUGACACUGAGGUGCGAAAGCGUGGGGAGCAAACAGG